UGGGACUAAGCCAUGCGAGUCAACGCCGAAAGGCGUGGCAUACGGCUCAGUAACACGUAGUCAACAUGCCCAAAGGACGUGGAUAACCUCGGGAAACUGAGGAUAAACCGCGAUAGGCCAAGGUUUCUGGAAUGAGCCAUGGCCGAAAUCUAUAUGGCCUUUGGAUUGGACUGCGGCCGAUCAGGCUGUUGGUGAGGUAAUGGCCCACCAAACCUGUAACCGGUACGGGCUUUGAGAGAAGGAGCCAGGAGAUGGGCACUGAGACAAGGGCCCAGGCCCUAUGGGGCGCAGCAGGCGCGAAACCUCUGCAAUAGGCGAAAGCCUGACAGGGUUACUCUGAGUGAUUCCCGCUAAGGGAAUCUUUUGGCAUCUCUAAAAAUGGUGCAGAAUAAGGGGUGGGCAAGUCUGGUGUCAGCCGCCGCGGUAAUACCAGCACCCCGAGUGGUCGGGACGAUUAUUGGGCCUAAAGCAUCCGUAGCCGGUCUUGCAAGUCUUCCGUUAAAUCCAGCUGCUUAACAGAUGGGCUGCGGAGGAUACUACAAGGCUAGGAGGCGGGAGAGGCAAGCGGUACUCAGUGGGUAGGGGUAAAAUCCUCUGAUCCAUUGAAGACCACCAGUGGCGAAGGCGGCUUGCCAGAACGCGCUCGACGGUGAGGGAUGAAAGCUGGGGGAGCAAACCGGAUUAGAUACCCGGGUAGUCCCAGCUGUAAACGAUGCAGACUCGGUGAUGGGCCGGCUUUAUGCCGGCUCAGUGCCGCAGGGAAGCCGUUAAGUCUGCCGCCUGGGGAGUACGGUCGCAAGACUGAAACUUAAA
Molecule: ribosomal RNA, 813 nt
Filed under: uncultured archaeon
Lineage: Archaea
Description: bacterial SSU rRNA
Rfam family: Archaeal small subunit ribosomal RNA
Source: RNAcentral